AAUCAAGUGCCUUAAGGGU
This 19-nucleotide ribosomal RNA is filed under the name Bradyrhizobium sp. Scia2. RNAcentral's name for it is "partial 23S ribosomal RNA". The record is from RNAcentral. Lineage: Bacteria; Pseudomonadati; Pseudomonadota; Alphaproteobacteria; Hyphomicrobiales; Nitrobacteraceae.